Molecule: ribosomal RNA, 445 nt
Filed under: uncultured bacterium
Lineage: Bacteria
Description: partial 16S ribosomal RNA
Rfam family: Bacterial small subunit ribosomal RNA
Source: RNAcentral
GUGAGGAAUAUUGGUCAAUGGACGAGAGUCUGAACCAGCCAAGUCGCGUGAAGGAAGACGGUUCUAUGAAUUGUAAACUUCUUUUGUGCAGGAAUAAAGUGGGUUACGUGUAACCUUUUGUAUGUACUGUACGAAUAAGGAUCGGCUAACUCCGUGCCAGCAGCCGCGGUAAUACGGAGGAUCCGAGCGUUAUCCGUACUUAUUGGGUUUAAAGGGUGCGUAGGUGGAUUGAUAAGUCAGCGGUGAAAGUUUGCAGCUUAACUGUAAAAUUGCCGUUGAAACUGUCGGUCUUGAGUGCAAAUGAGGUAGGCGGAAUGUGUUGUGUAGCGGUGAAAUGCUUAGAUAUAACACAGAACUCCGAUUGCGAAGGCAGCUUACUGGGAUGCAACUGACACUGAUGCACGAAAGCGUGGGUAUCAAACAGGAUUAGAAACCCGGGUAGUCC